CUCACCCGUGGCGGCCGGUACGCUGGCCGCGCUCCAGCGAAAUGAGGUAGGCAGCGAGUUUGGCGUCGCUCCAGCCGCUGCGCCGUCUCAGGUCCACCCAGGGGCCGUGCGCCUCGCCCAGGUACACGCGCCGCACGUCGUACUUCUUCCGGGACUCGAGCCGCCUCCGGGCCCGGUCCGACUCUGUGAGCCGCGGUCGGCCCCGCGCCUUUCGACCCGCCGCGCCCUCCUCUGCCGCCGUCUCCCCGCCUGCCCCCGCCCCCGCCUCCGCCCCGGGCUCUGGAGCCCGCUCCGCCAUCCCCCCCCACCCUGGUUACCGGCCUCCCCCGUUGUUAGGAGCCUCAACCGGAAGUGGCGCGCCUAGUCUGCGCCGCCGGGAGAUUUCUCACAGGUUCUCCACUGCCCGCGGCGCCAAACGAGGGACAGUUAGCCGGAGCUGCGCAUGCGCCGGCCAGGAAGACACACUCCAGUUACGGGGCUACUUGGGAAGUCAAGGCAGCCAUGGUGAUGGCUCUGCGGGUAAAGGCGAAUCCUGCCAAACCUGGCAAUCUGAGUUCCAUUUGCAGGACUCAGGGUGGAAAGGCAGAACUGACUCCAGCAAAUAGUCUUCUCACCUCCACACACCCCUCCCACACCACAAAUACAUCAACGGAGUUUAAAGCUCAGACUCAACUCUGACCCUGCUGCUGCUGUGCCUGAAAGGCCUCAUCUUCCUCCUGGCCCUUGGGAGGGCUGUGGGGAGGGGACUGUUCCUCCUGCCUCGAGAUUGUCAGCAGCUCCCCCGUGGACCUGGCCAGGC
This is a long non-coding RNA of Chionomys nivalis (European snow vole), 799 nucleotides long. RefSeq lists it as uncharacterized. The transcript has 3 exons. Lineage: Eukaryota; Metazoa; Chordata; Mammalia; Rodentia; Cricetidae. The record is from RefSeq and is a predicted model, not a curated record.